GAUGAACGCUAGCGGCAGGCUUAAUACAUGCAAGUCGUGGGGCAGCAUGAGUGUAGCAAUACAUUUGAUGGCGACCGGCAAACGGGUGCGGAACACGUACACAACCUUCCUUCAAGUGGGGAAUAGCCCAGGGAAACUUGGAUUAAUACCCCGUAAUAUUAUGGAGUGGCAUCACUUUAUAAUUAUAGCUCCGGCGCUUGAUGAUGGGUGUGCGCCUGAUAGGUAGUUGGCGGGGUAACGGCCCACCAAGCCUUCGACCAGUAACUGGUGUGAGAGCACGACCAGUCACACGGGCACUGAGACACGGGCCCGACUCCUACGGAGGCAGCAGUAAGGAAUAUUGGUCAAUGGACGCAAGUCUGAACCAGCCAUGCCGCGUGGAGGAUGAAGGUCCUCUGGAUUGUAAACUUCUUUUAUAUGGGACGAAAAAGGGAAUUCUUUCUCGUCUGACGGUACAUAUGAAUAAGCACCGGCUAACUCCGUGCCAGCCGCCGCGGUAAC
Molecule: ribosomal RNA, 501 nt
Filed under: uncultured bacterium
Lineage: Bacteria
Description: bacterial SSU rRNA
Rfam family: Bacterial small subunit ribosomal RNA
Source: RNAcentral